This 717-nucleotide ribosomal RNA is filed under the name uncultured bacterium. RNAcentral describes it as "bacterial SSU rRNA". It matches the Rfam family "Bacterial small subunit ribosomal RNA", at positions 56 to 787 of the family's 1533-position model. The record is from RNAcentral.
UGCAAGUCAACUUGAAUUUGGGUUUUUAACUUAGAUUUGGGUGGCGGACGGGUGAGUAACGCGUAAAGAACUUGCCUCACAGCUAGGGACAACAUUUAGAAAUGAAUGCUAAUACCUGAUAUUAUGAUUUUAAGGCAUCUUAGAAUUAUGAAAGCUAUAAGCACUGUGAGAGAGCUUUGCGUCCCAUUAGCUAGUUGGAGAGGUAACAGCUCACCAAGGCGAUGAUGGGUAGCCGGCCUGAGAGGGUGAACGGCCACAAGGGGACUGAGACACGGCCCUUACUCCUACGGGAGGCAGCAGUGGGGAAUAUUGGACAAUGGACCGAGAGUCUGAUCCAGCAAUUCUGUGUGCACGAUGAAGUUUUUCGGAAUGUAAAGUGCUUUCAGUUGGGAAGAAAAAAUGACGGUACCAACAGAAGAAGUGACGGCUAAAUACGUGCCAGCAGCCGCGGUAAUACGUAUGUCACGAGCGUUAUCCGGAUUUAUUGGGCGUAAAGCGCGUCUAGGUGGUUAUGUAAGUCUGAUGUGAAAAUGCAGGGCUCAACUCUGUAUUGCGUUGGAAACUGUAUAACUAGAGUACUGGAGAGGUAAGCGGAACUACAAGUGUAGAGGUGAAAUUCGUAGAUAUUUGUAGGAAUGCCGAUGGGGAAGCCAGCUUACUGGACAGAUACUGACGCUAAAGCGCGAAAGCGUGGGUAGCAAACAGGAUUAGAUACCC